GUUGAUCAUGGCUCAGGAUGAACGCUAGCGACAGGCUAACACAUGCAAGUCGAGGGGCAUCACGGGAGUAGCAAUACAACUGGUGGCGACCGGCGCACGGGUGAGUAACGCGUAUGCAACCUACCUAUCAGAGGGGAAUAACCCGGCGAAAGUCGGACUAAUACCGCAUAAAACAGGGGCACCGCAUGGUGAUAUUUGUUAAAGAAAUUCGCUGAUAGAUGGGCAUGCGUUCCAUUAGGUAGUUGGUGAGGUAACGGCUCACCAAGCCGACGAUGGAUAGGGGAACUGAGAGGUUGGUCCCCCACACUGGUACUGAGACACGGACCAGACUCCUACGGGAGGCAGCAGUGAGGAAUAUUGGUCAAUGGGCGGGAGCCUGAACCAGCCAAGUCGCGUGAAGGAAGAAGGAUCUAUGGUUCGUAAACUUCUUUUGCAGGGGAAUAAAGUGCAGGACGUGUCCUGUUUUGUAUGUACCCUGAGAAUAAGGAUCGGCUAACUCCGUGCCAGCAGCUGC
This 514-nucleotide ribosomal RNA is filed under the name uncultured bacterium. RNAcentral describes it as "bacterial SSU rRNA". It matches the Rfam family "Bacterial small subunit ribosomal RNA", at positions 11 to 518 of the family's 1533-position model. The record is from RNAcentral.